CAUAUGCUUGUCUCAAAGAUUAAGCCAUGCAUGUCUAAGUAUAAGCAAUUAUACUGCGAAACUGCGAAUGGCUCAUUAUAUAAGUUAUCGUUUACUUGAUAGCACAUUACUACUUGGAUAACCGUGGUAAUUCUAGAGCUAAUACAUGCUAAAAAUCCCGACUUCGGAAGGGAUGUAUUUAUUAGAUUAAAAACCAAUGCCCUUCGGGCUUGCUGGUGAUUCAUAAUAACUUCUCGAAUCGCAUGGCCUUGCGCCGGCGAUGGUUCAUUCAAAUCUCUUCCCUAUCAACUUUCGAUGCGAAGGUCUUGUCUUCGCAUGGUUACAACGGGUAACGGAGGGUUAGGGCUCGACCCCGGAGAAGGAGCCUGAGAAACGGCUACUACAUCCAAGGAAGGCAGCAGGCGCGCAAAUUACCCAAUCCCGACACGGGGAGGUAGUGACAAGUAAGUUACUCGUGACCGAUUUGCUUUUAAUUUUCUCUUUUUCGUAUGGACUCUUUGCUAAUGCUUACUUCUCUAGUAAAUACUGAUACAGGGCUCUUUUGGGUCUUGUAAUUGGAAUGAGUACAAUUUAAAUCUCUUAACGAGGAACAAUUGGAGGGCAAGUCUGGUGCCAGCAGCCGCGGUAAUUCCAGCUCCAAUAGCGUAUAUUAAAGUUGUUGUGGUUAAAAAGCUCGUAGUUGAACCUUGGGCCUGGCUGGCCGGUCCCCCUCACCGGGUGCACUGAUCCAGCCGGGUCUUUCCCUCUAUGGAACCCCAUGGCCUUUACUGGUCGUGGUGGGGAAAUAGGACUUUUACUUUGAAAAAAUUAGAGUGCUCCAGGCAGGCCUAUGCUCGAAUACAUUAGCAUGGAAUAAUGGAAUAGGACGUGUGGUUCUAUUUUGUUGGUUUCUAGGACCGCCGUAAUGAUUAAUAGGGACAGUCGGGGGCAUCAGUAUUCAAUUGUCAGAGGUGAAAUUCUUGGAUCUAUUGAAGACUAACUACUGCGAAAGCAUUUGCCAAGGAUGUUUUCAUUGAUAAGGAACGAAAGUUAGGGGAUCGAAGACGAUCAGAUACCGUCGUAGUCUUAACUAUAAACUAUGCCGACUAGGGAUCGGACGAUGUUGUUUAUUGACUCGUUCGGCACCUUCCGAGAAAUCAAAGUGCUUGGGCUCCAGGGGGAGUAUGGUCGCAAGGCUGAAACUUAAAGGAAUUGACGGAAGCUGAAAGGGUAGGUGGUUGUCCCGGCUGGUUGCCGAAACCUAAAAGGCUAGUCUCCCUAUUCAUGGGGGGCGACACCCUCAAAUUGCGGGGAACCCCUAAAGCUCCUGCUCCAAAGCCGGUAUGCGAAAGCUAUCGGUGGCCAGGUUAAUCGCCUCGGGUACUGGAACAGCGCAGGAGAUGCAACAAUGGGCAAUCCGCAGCCAAGCCCCUAAGUGAUUUUAUCAUAUGGGGAAGGUUCAGAGACUUGACGGGGGUGGGUAGGUAAAACGGUAUCAAAGAAGAGAAAGUCGUACGGCGCUACCUAAAUUCUAUACGUAAUCAUUACCUGCUUAAGAUAAAGUCCGGCCCUAUACGAAAAUAUAGUGGGAAAAUAGGGAACCUGCGGCUUAAUUUGACUCAACACGGGGAAACUCACCAGGUCCAGACACAGUGAGGAUUGACAGAUUGAGAGCUCUUUCUUGAUUCUGUGGGUGGUGGUGCAUGGCCGUUCUUAGUUGGUGGAGUGAUUUGUCUGCUUAAUUGCGAUAACGAACGAGACCUUAACCUGCUAAAUAGCCCGUAUUGCUCAGCAGUACGCUGGCUUCUUAGAGGGACUAUCGGCUCAAGCCGAUGCAAAGGAGUGGGCUGUGGCUAUUUCACUUGCUGCAGCUUAAGGUACGUGCUAAUCCCCCGGGUAACCGGGCUUCUACGUCGAGACCCGAUAAGUCGAAGCGUAGAGGGGGUGGAACCUCGGUUCCUAUCCGGUUGUCGUUACAGUUACUUUAGUGGGGCUUGUAAUGUUGCGGGUUCUCAUGGCCCCGCAGUAACUUGCCAAAUAUGCUAUGAGCCUUGCUAAAGACUGUAUCGCAAAAAUGCUGUGAUGCCCUUAGAUGUCCUGGGCCGCACGCGCGUUACACUGACAAAGCCAGCGAGUAUUUCCUUGGCCGAAAGGCCCGGGUAAUCUUGUUAAACUUUGUCGUGCUGGGGAUAGAGCAUUGCAAUUAUUGCUCUUCAACAGGAAUCCUAGUAAGCGCAAGUCAUCAGCUUGCGUUGAUUACGUCCCUGCCCUUUGUACACACCGCCCGUCGCUACUACCGAUUGAAUGGCUCAGUGAGAUUUCGGACUGACCCAGGGAGGUGGGAAACUACCACCCAGGGCCGGAAAGUUGCUCAAACUCGGUC
RNAcentral lists this ribosomal RNA (2362 nucleotides) under Halosarpheia fibrosa. Its description in RNAcentral is "partial 18S small subunit ribosomal RNA". It matches the Rfam family "Eukaryotic small subunit ribosomal RNA". The record is from RNAcentral. Lineage: Eukaryota; Fungi; Ascomycota; Sordariomycetes; Microascales; Halosphaeriaceae.